UUAAUUUUAAAAUUUGAUGGACAAAGCUUACAAAGAGUUCGAAAAUAACAAUAAGAAAUCAAUUUACUGAAAGUACCGGUAUAUUGUGAUUGCGCGCAGCGGUCAAAUACCUCCUGGGGUACUCUACACCAUAGAUUUAUAAUACUCUAGAUUGCGCCUUACGAUCUUAAAAUGGGUGACGGUUGCGACAGAGAUAAAUGAGCCUAUUUGGUCGGUAGUCUCUUUCUAAUUCAAGGGGAGUAUCGACGACGUCACUAUCCUACUCGGUCGUCGAGUAUUUUAGAUGGUUUGACAGUUCGAGCGGAUGGCGACAAGAACUGGUCGUUUGUCUUCGGACGUGGAUAAUCCUGGUUCGAAUCCCAUACCAAUCUUUACUUUUUUUAUUUUUAAUUUAAUCAAUAUUGUGUUUAUUAGAUAUUAUUACAUCUCUAAAAUAAAUCUAUGCAAAGAAAUAUAUAACAAAUAAGAAAAACUGUGUAGGUACCUAUAGAUUUUUAAAAAUAUAAAAGCCAAUGUUAUUUUUUUUAAUAAGUUAAUGGUAGAAUAGUACCUAUAAAGUAAUUAAAAAUAUUCGUAAAAGAUUACCAAUAAUUAAUAUCAACAUAAUCAUACCAUCGAUUUAUUAAUUGAAUCGGUCAUUUCAAAAACAACACGAGUCACAUAUUCCUAAUUUUACAGAAGAGCAAAGAAAACUUAACUAUAUAGUCGAAAGAUGGAUGAAAUGGAUGACAUCAAAAUUCAGAGUUAUAUUGUAGUUUUGUUCCUAAUGUUUUUACUGGACUGGUGACGUUUUUUGCACACAACGUUUAUCUUAAAGGAGUCUAUUCCUCUCAAAAAGUUAGUUUCUCAAAAUUGUGGACUUUGCUGUUUUUGAAAUGACCGAUUCAAUUAUAAGUAAUUAGACAUUAUUUUUAUUUAUGAAACUAUUGUUACAAUUUUUAAAAAAAGUAGAAGCAAAACAAAUAAUAUUCACAUUCGAAUGAGGACGAAUUUAUAUAAAUAACGAAUGACUUUUAUUUUACUAUGCAGUUCACAAAUAUGUGUUCCAAUAUUAACUUACUAUACAUAGGUACAUUUAUUAUCUGCUAGAUUUACUUGGGUCCAUUUUUCAGAUGUAAAAAUAUCUAAUAAACGCAAUAUUGAGUAAAUAAAAAUAAAAAAGGUAAGGUUGGUAUGGGAUUCGAACCACAAUUAUCCACGUCCGAAGACCAAAGACCAUUUCUCGUCACCAUCCGCUCCAACUGUCAACACAUAUUACUCGAUAAAGUGGCAUAGUCACGUCGUCGAUAUUCCCCUUAAAUUAAAAAGAGACUACCGACCAAAUAGGCUCAUUUAUCUCUGUCGCAACCGUCACCCAUUUUAAGAUCGGAGGACGCAAUCUAGAGUAUUAUAUAUCUAUGCUCUACACUCUAAUACCCGAAAGUUAGGUUUGGACCGAAGGGUUAGGUCUUCCUCCUUUGAAAAUUGUACUGUAUAAUAUAUAAUAUAUAUAAUAUAUUAAUUUUUUAAUUAAUUAAUUUUUUAAAAUUAGCAAAAUUUCUGUUCAAAACGAAUAAGAAGUAAAUAAAACUUAGACACCCUGUUGAGAACCCUGACCGCUGCGCGCAAUUACAAUCUGCCCGAAAUUACAUAACUCGUUAAUAUUACAUAAUAAAAGAUAAUGAAAAUGAAAUAAUGAAGCGUUUUACAUGUCUGCUCAUAUGGGGACAAGGAAAGAACUAACCAUAAAAAUACUGGGGGGUCUAAAUGGGGCUAGUAGAAGGAACAGACACGCAAAAAUUCAUGCGAACGACAGCUCAUUUGUUGUGCGGUGGCUGGGUCGUAGAUUCGUUAAGGGGGGUAGGGGGGUGUUAAGAAGACUAAACUACCAUAACCAAAUACAAAAGGAUACUUACUCAGACUAGAGGAUUUUUCUACUAUUUAACAAAAAGGACGCCGUUCGAAAUAAAUCCUCUGGUUCACAUAUGGGUACUUACAGGACAUUUUUCUUACUUACGGGUACCAAAUGGGGGGACAAUCAUCAUCGAUUCCUCUAUGGGGUUAAACUGGGCUACUUUAUCUCAUUUUGUUGGCCUCUAUGCCAUUUCUUUCUUCUACUCUACAACUUACAUCAUUUGUAUUAGAAUUUAGUUAAAAUUUUUCCAAAAUAGGGGUUGCAGAAAUAAAAUUAUAGAUACACUCACAAAACGUUUAUUUAAAACUCUACUGUAAUCUUACUCCAAAAAAAAAAACAAUAUUUAAUUUAACCUUUCAAUAUGAAGUUUAUUACAAACUUGACUACUAAAAAAAAACAAAACUUUUGACUGGUUUAACAUUUCACAAACAAAACAAAUACAAAUAAACUUGUCGGGCAGUAUAUGUCAAAUGAAAAUUUGACCCACUUAUUUUUAACACAAAAAUUAGACUUUGACAGAUGUCAUAAGUCACUGCCAUUUUGUUUUAUCCAUGCCCCGAGAACUCUAAUAAAAAACAUGUAAUCGUAUUUAUUUUCCUUCCAUUUUGCCAGAGGCGCUGAUGUCGGCAUUGUGAUUGGUGGAACAUGACUUUUGACAAAUCCUGCGCUAUCUGUGAAUCUGUGUUCAGUGUUCGUGUUCGUUCGUUCGUUGUCGUUCAGUUAUUUUCAUGUUAUUUUAUAUGGUCGGUUAUGUGUUGUGUUUGUGUCACCAUAAAAAGCUGAUAUUCAUGCAGUCGUGUUUUUUGAUAUUUUUGUUAUUUUGUAAUCGUGUAUCUUUUUAAAGGUCUAAUGGCUCCGUUCAGCUGUUGUGUGCAGACGGUGGAAAAGUUCAACAAGUAAACAUUUAUUUAAUCCAAAUUAAAUACUCAUAUUUCUAUGUAAAAUGUCACAUUAUUUUAUAAAUAAAUAAGUAAGAAACAAAA
Long non-coding RNA from Diabrotica virgifera virgifera (western corn rootworm), 2877 nucleotides. RefSeq lists it as uncharacterized. NCBI's taxonomy places the organism in Eukaryota, Metazoa, Arthropoda, Insecta, Coleoptera, Chrysomelidae. The transcript is spliced from 2 exons. The record is from RefSeq and is a predicted model, not a curated record.